This 7965-nucleotide long non-coding RNA is filed under the name Oryzias sinensis (Chinese medaka). RNAcentral's name for it is "lncRNA (ENSOSIG00000016553.1)". The record is from RNAcentral. Lineage: Eukaryota; Metazoa; Chordata; Actinopteri; Beloniformes; Adrianichthyidae.
AUGCACUGCAGGUAUGCAACCAAAGAAACAAAACAAAAAAAGCAGCCCCGGUUCCUCUGUUGGUGUAGGCUGUCUCCUGGCUUGGAAAGUUACAUUCCAUUGUAUUUGAUUGCAGGAACAUCAGUUGGUGUCAGUGAGUUCACAUAUGCACAAGAGGAGAUUUUGACAGUUUCACCCCAGAAAAGGGUCCCUUCUGGGAAAUCUGCAGAUCAGAAAGUGACAUCGCCUCCCACCGAAAAGCACCAGAGUGCUGAAGUGGAAAGCAAUAACUCGCUUCCCGUUGAGACAAGUGAUCAGAACGUUGAUCAAUUGGGUUUUAAAUCUAUAGAGAAGUCUUCACUUAUAAAGGCUGGUCCGUGUUCUAAGGUGAAGCCUAAACCAAACCUCGGUCACAGCUCAAGGACUGCAAAACCGGUAUCUCACACUGAGAUGUCGACAGAAGGGGGAGCUGGAAUAAGCUGCUCAGUUGCUCAAUGUGUUUCUCAAGAUGAUGAGACUUCACUAUCUGCUGAAGAAACAUCCCCUGGAAUAUCAGCUUCUGCUGCAGCAUUGUUUAAAGAUAACACUUCCUCUCAGCGCGCCUGCUUGGAUCAGGUUGAAACAGGUGCAGCAGAUCAGAAUCUCCUGAAAAGCCAGAGUCAGACUGUAAUUCAGUCCCAGUUGGGGCCUCCUGUAAAGUCCAAGGCUGGCUUAAAUAAACCAGUUGAAGCAGUGCCAGAGGUUAAAAAAGCGUCAAGCAACGAUCACAGCCCAGUUCCAGACAGAACCAGCAAACCUCAACCCUCGGUUGCAGACAACUCUUCUGUGAGUCACACAGGAGAAGGUGAUGUAAAAAGUCCUUCUCAGCCCAGAGGCAGACUGCCAAAAGUCAAACCCAAACCAAUCUUACUGCAGACGUCAAGAAUAGCUAGAUCCAAACGGCAAACCACUGAAGGGGUGGCAGAGAAAGAGUCAAUUGAAAGUCAGAAUACUUCAACUAAAAUGCCAGCAGAACUUCCAGAUGAACGGACUACAAGUGAGGAGACAACAAGUCCUAAAUGUCUAAAUCAAGCAGCACCUGUUCAGAGCGCUACAGAAACUCUGAUCUCUGCCAAAGUCGUGCCUGAGCUCUGUGUGGAGCAGACCAGCAAAGACUCUGAAGCCACUUCUGAAACUGUGUCAACUGAACAAACAGACCCAGAACUACCAGCUCCACAUGGGUCACAUUUGGGUUCAGAAAGAAAAGAAGAUUCUGCUGCAGUUGCUGAAGCAACCUCCAAUCAAGAUGAGAAAAAAACGGGAUCUUCUCAGUCAAGAAAGGGUCGACUACAAAAGGUUAAACCCAAACCAAACAUACCACAGUUGUUGAGAGGUGCAAGAUCCAAAGCUCAGAACACAGAAGAUGCCAUCCAAAAAAAUCUGGAGCUUCACAAAAACCCAUCCGUAGAGGCGGAAACACAAACAAAACUCACCCAAAAACUGUCUGCAAAUAAGGAGAUGAAGACAAAAGAUGGAGUUGAAGAUCAAGAAGAAUUGGGUGGAGCACCAUCAGGUCAAAGUCCUACAAAAGCCAAGAAUCUCUCCAUCGAGUCCAGUUUGGAGCAGGCAACUGGAGAUGCACUAUCAAUUCCUGAUUUAACCAAAGAAAGUGCAGCAUCCCAUGUUGAAGAUCCAGUUUUAAAGGCCUGUGAGGUCACAGAACCAGAACAAGGACUACAUUUGGAUUUUAUUGAAAGUGCAAAUUCAGCUUCUUUAAAUAAGUCUGUAGAAGAGUUGGCAGUCAUGCAAAAAGAGGAAAAAUCGUUGCCAACAGGUCAGACAAAGAGAGAUCGACUGUCAAAAAUCAAACCAAACCUUCAAACAUCAAGAGCUGCAAGAUCUACAUCUCAAACCACUGAAGAAGUUACGCAAAAAGACUUGUUUCCAGGUGAAGGACCUGAUUUCACGAAGGUGGAACCAGAACAGGAACUGUCUGUAAAUAAAGACACAUGGAGAGAGGCUGGGUUUGUAGACCCCAAAGUAUUGACAGACAAGAGCACCAAAGAAAGCCCAAAUCCCUGUGAAGAUCAGCCUGAGCCAUGUAAGGAGCAAACCAUAAGAGAUAGAGGAGCAACGUCUGAUUCAGCUCCAGAAAAUCUGUCAUACUGUUUUGGGCUACAGUCAAAUGUGGAGCCAGGAAAAAGUGGAAAGCCUUCAGCAGCAGCACAGGAACCAAGUGCAUCUGAUGAAAGGAAGACGGGUCAAAUCAAAAAACGUAAACCCAAACCAAACCUGGUACAGACAUCAAGAGCUCUGAGGUCCAAAUCCUCAAAAGAUUCACAGGAUAAGAACUCAAGUUCCAUAAUAGAACCCAAAGUCCAUGAAGAUGCCAUGUCAUUGGUGGAAGCAAACCUGUCUUUGGACAGUCAAUCUGAAACCGUUCCUACUUCAACAGUACAGCCUGUUAUGACUUUAGACUCAACUUCCACUCCAACAACAUACUCUUCUUCAAAUGACGAUCAAAGGGAAUUAACUAGACUGGAUUCGAUUGAUAUGAUUGCAGAAAUAUCAGAUCAGAGCACCACAGAGAACCAGAACUUCCCUGAAGUCCAGAUUGGUAACACCAGAGUUGAAGAAUCUCUGACGGAGUUCUCUGAUAAAAACCUAAAAUCUCAUGUUGAACCAACUGAUUCAAGAGUUCCAGAGGCACCAAAGCUGGGUUUGGAUCCAACUUCAUCUGUUGCAGGGCCUCCAGCCGUCAAACAAGGUUCUGAAGUUGCAUCUUCUUGUUUAUCAGUGAGGAACAGAUUAUCAAAAAUUAAACCCAAACCCAACUUGACAAAAACCUCAAGAGCUGCAAGAUUGAGACCUCAGAUCUCAAAAGAAUCAGCACAAAGUUCUGAAUCCUGCAAAAAGUUUGAACCAGAAAACAGCAACAUCUCCAAUUCUGUUUCAGGUUCAGAACAAUCCAAGAAUGCAUUCCCUGCAGAAGAGAAACAUCCUAGACGUGUAGAUCAGGCGGACACGGAUGCAGCCACAACAGGUUGCAGUGCUCCAAAGAAACAGAACAUCUGUCAAGUCCUGGUUGAAGAACAAACAUCUGCAGACCAGGCAUCGGCCUCUGAGAUGAGAGAGGAAGCAUCUCCGGUUGGGAAGUCACCAGAUGUUCGGCAUUUAUCUGCACAGGCGUGUUCAGAAGAAGCUGAAUCAAACGCUAAGUUUAGGAGAUUACAGAAAAUUCGCCCCAAACCGAAUUUACCAAAUAAAUCAAGAACGGCAAGAAUUGGAACACCAACCAUAAAUGACCCAAAGGAAAAAGAUUUGAGUGAAACUCAAUUUGAACAAGACUUGAUUGAACAAACAUCUGCAGGAAACCAGAACAUCACUGAAGUUCCCAAUGAAGAUCAGACCACUGGAAAAAUUGAGGAAACAUCCUCUUUUGUUGAGGUGAGAAAUUUAGCAUGUGAAGAAGCAGAAAAGGGAGAAGUGUCCUUUGUGGGGCAGGAGCUCCAUCUUGCUGCAUCAGGAACCAAGCAACAUGUUGGUGAAGAGGAUGAAGCUGCAUCUACGUCUCAAUCCAAGAGGAGGCGUUUUCAGAAACCUGAACCAAACCUCCCUGUGACAUCAAAAGGCGCUAAAUCUAAACCCGAAUUCCCUAAAGAGCCAGUCCAACUCACGCUCGCUAUGAAGCAACCACAGAUCUCCACCUCCAAAUCUAUGGAGCAACCUCAGAUCUCUAUUUCUAAAUCUGUGGAGCAACCUCAGAUCUCCACCUCCAAAUCUAUGGAUCAACCUCAGAUCUCCAUCUCCAAAUCUUCUGACCGCUCAACAUCAAAAGAAGAUGGUCAGUUUGUGUUGACUUCUCAUAAAAUCAAAAGUUCAGUUGCGGAACCGUUCGUCGAAUUGAGCCCAUCUCAUAAAUUUGUAGAGGAAUCAACCUCCGAGUGCAAAACAAAUGUUGAACAAGUCUCCAAUUCAGAGCAAAAUCUUCUUCAGAGAAGACCAAGGCUUUCCAGAGUCAGACCCAAACCUAAUCUAGAAGUAUCCAGUCGAGCUUUGCGGCGAAAAGUUCAGCCAGGUGACGGUUCCAAACCUUCAGGUGAAACUUCCACACCUCCAAGUGGCCUUAAGACGUCAGUGGAGAUGGAACCAGGUGGAGAAAAAAUGGACAGUGAAGGUCCAGCUGAGAGGGACUUGAUGGAUCCGUCUGCAGCUGUGGAUGCUCAGGUCUCAACACAAGUCGGUUCUACAUCAACCUCCAAAGCCAGCUCGGUCAGUGCAGAGGGACACUCCUCAACCCAAAGUAUUGAUUCUGCUGAAUCAGAAGCAGCUGACUCUUCUGAGACGUCAAAUAAAGCUCCUCAACCUCCCAACAUCACGUGCAGCAGUCUUGCACAGCGCAGACAGACGGAUGCAGAUUCUGACACUAGCUCGAGGACAGCUUCGUUGGAGCCUCGCCCUGGCAGUCGAUGGCCAGUAGGUGGAGACAUUGAUGAGACGAGAGACAAAUCGUCCUGUCUAGAUCCUGCUUCUCAAGAAGUGUCAUCUACGCAAGUGAGAUAAUAAUACGUCACUCAGUCUUAGCAAUUCUUUUCUAACAAGUUAUUUGAAGAUAAUUUGGCUUGUUUAAUUGAUUGUUUUGGUUUGUUUCAUAUUCGAACUUCUUGAAUUGAAAGACUUAUUUCAUGUUUUUGUUCUGAAUUUUGGCGAAGAGAAAAUCUUGUUUCCUUUUAAACUCUAAUCUGUUUUUUUUUUAAUCUUAUUUGAGAUUGUGUGCCAUCAAUUCUUAUGUGCUUUAUGCAUUAUUUUAAAAUGCUUUGAUCAACUAAAUCUUUACAUUAAUUAUGCAUAAGGUCAGGGCUUUUAACCCACUGGCUACCAGGACAUUAUUGACAUCAUUUCCGCUCCAGAACAUCGUCUGUUGUUGGCGCCGCCUGAGUCAUCCCUCCUCUGGUGUGGCGUGCAGUAGCAGUGAUGAUGCCUUUCCAAAGUUUGGUACAUCAGAGGAGGGAUAAUAUGGGUGGCGCCGACAACAGUCACUGUUCCAUAGCUGAACUGAAGUCAAAAUAACCUACGUUUCCAAUGUCAAUUGUGUCUCUAGUAGCCAAUGGGCUCAAAGCCCCGCCCCACGUAAAAUUAGGCUCAACUAGGAAAACGUAAAAUCUGAAUUGAAACUGUAAAUUGAGGAAUUAAAGCAAAGGGUGAGAAAAAACAAGUUGAAAAUACAAAACAGCAGCUUUUACAAAGAAAUCUAUAUUUUUCAUUCAUCAGGAUAACUUUAUAAACAGUUAAUGCCAUUAAGAGCAAUUCUUCCAUUUAUCCAUUAGUUAAAAUUGUAUUUUUCUCUAAAAAGAAAGAGGACUUUGCUAGUUUUUGUUCAGAUUUCAAUACAGCUCUUUAAAUAUUUGCAUUUUGUAUUCAAAAGUUAAAAUGUUUAAAAUGGCAUAAAAGGUGCUUAGCACUGAAUUAACUAUAGAAAUAUUAUAGAAAAUCCUGCGGUGACCUUUGAGGUUGAAGUACUUAAUGUUGUUUUCAGAUUAUCAGUGUCUGAAAUGUUCACAUUGUAACACUUGUGGUAAAAUAGGUGUAUCGAACCAACAAAACCCUGCAUUAAGUUGCCGCUUUGAUCUGAGGCGGAGUUUCAGAUCUGCUGCUACCUUUCCUCAACUGUCUCCUUUUGAUUCCUUAAACCCCAGAAUACGUCGGCUUUAAAUCCGGAGGGGAUCCACACUUAUCCGCUUCUGAUGGAGAGUAAGUCGUUCUUCUCCCACCGCGGCUUUGUUUGAAGUGUUUCCGUUAAACGCCUUCUCUUUUUAUUUUAAUUUUUUUUGUCAGUGCUGCCCGAGCAGGUGCCUUCAGAUCCGGAUGAACCGUUCUUCGUCCUUUCUCUGAUGGAGAUCCCGGGGGAGGCGGUAACCAGCGCGGCCGAGAAGCCGCCUCAUCACCCCGUCGCAGAUGCUGUCACGCUGCGGCCGUGGUCAGUGCUGCUGCUCCCUUCGGCCGAAUGGAGUUUGUUUCAUCUGCCGUCGGCGCUUACAACCUUCUCCCCUGUGUAGGGAUUCUGGAGAGAGUUCCACAGCAGCAGCAGGAGAGAAGUCCGUCUCUGGCGUCUCCACAAAAAGUGCAGAAACAAGUUCUGCAUCUGAAGGUGAAGCUGCAAAUCAAAUUAAACUUUAUUUAUAACACUUUGCAUACUCAUGUAGCUCAAAGUGCUACAUAUAUAUCUAUAUAUAUAUAGAUAUAUAUAUGACUUUCACACAUAAAAAAUUAUAAAACACAUACAAUACCCACAAAAGCCUGACCUUUUUUUUUUUAGAAAUACCUUUGUAAUCAUUGUUUGCAUGAGGACUAAACACAAGAUAAGCUGUCGGCUUAAACGUUUGUUAGAAGAGUUAUUGAGUCAGUAAGUCUGAACCGAUGAAUAUCUUGCCAAUUUUACCAAACUGGUUUUGCGAGCCUCCUGCUGAAACUAGAGCUGCGCUUUACGGCAGUAAAAGGUCUUGAUCCAUUCAUGACCUGCACACUUCUAGUAGGGCAUUUAUUUUAAAGAAUAAGCUUGAAAUAUACAGCGUCGAUCAAAGUAAUAUAAAGUAAAUAUCGGAUUCCGGGUCGAGUCUGAAACUACGUGAUCAGGCCAGAUUUACUGUGGCUGCAGAGUGAUCCUCCUAUCAAAUUUUUAUUUUUUUCUCUGUUUUUUAAAUAUUUUUAUGCCUCAUUGUUAAAUCUUACGGUUUUUAACGUUUUUAAUCCAGAAAAACCUGCAGAAAAUCUAGAAACCUGUGUUGCCAGAGAGACGGACGCAGCAGCUGAGAAUAAAGGUAUUCACAACAUUUCUCUUUCAAAUGCUUAUAAAAAUAAACAUUUAUUUUUCUGUAUUUAAUUUUUAUUGCCUCUUUUAACAGUUAUUUCAACAAGGAGAAGAAGAACUAAAGCUGAAGCUACCGUCAGCCAGAGAAGUGAGGCUGAAGCUGCUUCUGACCCACGAAGUUGUAAAAAAGGAAAAAGCUUGAAGAAAUCUGACAGCAGUUUGGGCUCCAAAAAAAGUAACACAAGCAGUCGUCAGACUAGGUAAGGUAUUUUUUUAUAUAUUAACAAUUUGUCAAUGAUAUUACCCUUUAAGAUCUAGUUUUUCUGUCCCUUACAGAAAAGCAAAAGACGUUUCCCAUGAAGUCAAAACGUCGCCCAGCGAUUCCCCUGCUGCGAAGGCGAAGACGUCUGCUAAGAAAGCAGCUUCUGCGUCACAUGAAGAUGCUGCACCAGCCAAAGUCCGUUCAGCUCCUGUGGGGUCGCAGUCCAGACCCACCGCCGACCAGACACCCGGCACCUCAACUCCCAGCUCCACCCUCCGCACCGCCCGGGUAAGACGGCAACUAGCGGCUGAAAACAUGUCAUUUCUUUUCUCUCAUUUGGGUUUGUGUUGAUCUUUGCAGGAAAGCUGUGCUGAGAUCAGCUCAGCAGAGGAGGAGCCCACCAGCGUGUCGCAGUACUUCAUUAGUGACAUUUUCACAGAAGUGGAUGAGUCAUGAACACCGGAUUCUCAUUUAAAGAAGCUCCUGUUUUUUAGUCUUAGUUGUGAUGUUUUUAUAGUCCAAUACACCCCCCCCCCAAACCCCAAUGGCACUUUGAAUUGGUUUUGGAGUUGAAAUCAGUGCUUUUUGAAAAUGCACUUAGAUGAUAAAUGCUAAAGUCUGAAAGCUAAAGCGGCAGCAGCUGAAUGUUUCAGUUCAGCCUCAAAUUUUACUCAACAACUGUGAAAAUGUAAAUAUGUUGUGUGUUUCAUUUUGUACUUGAUGCCACUUUCUAAAUUGUGUACAGCUUUAUACAACCCUCUUGUGUACAUAAUUUUAUUUAGUUAAGCAAACUCCAUCAAAGGUGAAUUUAUGGAUGUUUCCAUGAAUGGUUGACGAGUAACAGUGGUUUACAAUAAAUCAAGAUAAACACUUGAUUGGGUUUUUUAUUUGACUUUUUUAUGUGUUUCUUUAUAUUUAAUUUAUAACUGUAGAGACU